RNAcentral lists this ribosomal RNA (501 nucleotides) under uncultured bacterium. RNAcentral's name for it is "partial 16S ribosomal RNA". It matches the Rfam family "Bacterial small subunit ribosomal RNA", at positions 30 to 523 of the family's 1533-position model. The record is from RNAcentral.
AUUGAACGCUGGCGGCAGGCUUAACACAUGCAAGUCGAGCGGAGAUGAGGUGCUUGCACCUUAUCUUAGCGGCGGACGGGUGAGUAAUGCUUAGGAAUCUGCCUAUUAGUGGGGGACAACAUUCCGAAAGGAAUGCUAAUACCGCAUACGUCCUACGGGAGAAAGCAGGGGAUCUUCGGACCUUGCGCUGAUAGAUGAGCCUAAGUCGGAUUAGCUAGUUGGUGGGGUAAAGGCCUACCAAGGCGACGAUCUGUAGCGGGUCUGAGAGGAUGAUCCGCCACACUGGGACUAAAGCACGGCCCAGACUCCUACGGGAGGCAGCAGUGGGGAAUAUUGGACAAUGGGGUAAACCCUGAUCCAGCCAUGCCGCGUGUGUGAAGAAGGCCUUAUGGUUGUAAAGCACUUUAAGCGAGGAGGAGGCUACUGAGACUAAUACUCUUGGAUAGUGGACGUUACUCGCAGAAUAAGCACCGGCUAACUCUGUGCCAGCCGCCGCUGUAA